Molecule: long non-coding RNA, 732 nt
Organism: Parus major (Great Tit)
Lineage: Eukaryota; Metazoa; Chordata; Aves; Passeriformes; Paridae
Exons: 5
Source: RefSeq, a predicted model, not a curated record
GCAGGGAAUUCCUGUUUUGCUUGCUCAGAAUUGUGUUUGCAGGAAAUUCCUUUUUUACUUUGUUAUGAGUUGUGUUUUUCAAGCUCUCCACAGUUAAACUGGCAGGCUGGAACCAGAGGCAGUCUCUUCAAGGGCUCUGCAGGCAUAUCCAUGCAGCUGUAAAGUGAAAGUGAGAACUUCCUUUGGCAUCCUGUCUUUGUGGUGCUGCCAUUCCUGUUGAAUGCAGUCUCAGUGAUUUGUGCUGGCUGGAUUCACGUGUGGCAUCUCGUUGACUUUGCUGGUGAGUUCAGACAGCGAGGUGUUUUUUCAGAAAGCACAUGAGGAGGAGAGAGCAGCACUUCACUGAACGAGCUGUACAGCCCUUGGUGCUGCAGCUCAGACCUGGAGAAGCCUUUACAGGUUCUUUUGGAUCGUCAAUGGCAGAGCAUGAGACAAGGAAAACCCAAAACAUCAGUGUGUUAUCACCAUUUGCAUUCUGAAUCCAACCCUCAGCCCUGUAACCUCUGUUGAGAUGAAAUUAACUCUGUCCUAACUGGAACCAGGACAAAUGAGAGAAGCCAUAAUUACAUGUGACAAAUACUUUGGAAUUGACCUGACUGUCUUGAAAAACUUCCAUAAGUACUCUCAGUGGAAGAGGCACAUGCUAAGAGAUUAUUUCAGUUUGAAAAGAAAUAAAUUUUUCUUUCUCUGUUCACUGUACGUUUGACAAUAAAUAAUGGGGAUUUCAUUGUG